UCAAGCACUCUGGAAGGGGUGCCGUGGUCGUGGGGGCAAUGGCCUUCGUCGGCGGUUUGGUUGGUGGCCCACCAGGAUUAGCUGUCGGGUCUGGAGCAAGUUGUGUAUUGAUGUCCUGAUGUCCCCACUACAUGAAGUGCUCUUGUAAAUGGAAUAUUGAUGCUCCGUGACAAGGUAGUGCAGACGCUUGCCAUACCGUCAGAUCGAGAGGUUCACUGGUGUCAGGAGGAAAAGAUCAGUCAAACUUGUGUAUGAACCGUUUUCCCUUCCUGGGAUGCCUCUUUCCUUUAGAGACCAGAGGAGCAAUUUGCUUCCAGGGCCACAUUGCUUGGAUUCCAAGAACAUAGGAGUCAGACUCUCUCUUCUGAGUCCAGCCUACAAGUGGGUUCUUCCUGGCAUAAGCUGAGUGGUCUGUUUACUUAAUUAAACAUUUAUAAAGUG
Molecule: long non-coding RNA, 441 nt
Filed under: Rattus norvegicus (Norway rat)
Lineage: Eukaryota; Metazoa; Chordata; Mammalia; Rodentia; Muridae
Description: long non-coding RNA NONRATT000621
Source: RNAcentral